UGGGUAGUUUGACUGGGGCGGUCGCCUCCUAAAUCGUAACGGAGGCGCGCGAAGGUUGGCUCAGAGCGGUCGGAAAUCGCUCGUUGAGUGCAAUGGCAGAAGCCAGCCUGACUGCGAGACUGACAAGUCGAGCAGAGUCGAAAGACGGCCAUAGUGAUCCGGUGGUCCCAAGUGGGAGGGCCAUCGCUCAACGGAUAAAA
Molecule: ribosomal RNA, 200 nt
Filed under: Proboscia inermis
Lineage: Eukaryota; Bacillariophyta; Melosirophyceae; Probosciales; Probosciaceae
Description: partial Bacterial large subunit ribosomal RNA
Rfam family: Bacterial large subunit ribosomal RNA
Source: RNAcentral